RNAcentral lists this ribosomal RNA (468 nucleotides) under uncultured bacterium. RNAcentral's name for it is "partial 16S ribosomal RNA". It matches the Rfam family "Bacterial small subunit ribosomal RNA", at positions 28 to 507 of the family's 1533-position model. The record is from RNAcentral.
GACGAACGCUGGCGGCGUGCUUAACACAUGCAAGUCGAACGGAAACCCCCUUCUUUUGUGGUCUGCUCGAGUGGCGAACGGGUGAGUAACACGUGAGUAACCUGCCCUUGACUUUCGUAUCACUUCAGGAAACUUGGGCUAAUACCGUAUCUGCUCUCCUCCUGCAUGCUCAGUGUUCGACAUUUCAGGCGGUUGGGGAUGAACUCGCGUCUUAUCAGCUGGCUGGUGGGGUAGUGGCUGACCAAGGCUUUGACGAGUAGCCGGCCUGAGAGGGGGAGCGGAAACAUUAGGACUGAGAUACGGCACAGACUAAUACGGGAGGCAGGGGUGGGGAGGAUGGCACAGUGGGAGGGAGGGAGAUGUAGCGACGCGGCGUGGGGGAUGACGGGAAGCGGGUUGGUAACCGAUGUCGCAUGAGAAGAAGAGUGAGUGACGGUAAUGGGUAAAGAAGCACCGGCUAACUACGUG